RNAcentral lists this ribosomal RNA (254 nucleotides) under uncultured bacterium. RNAcentral describes it as "partial 16S ribosomal RNA". It matches the Rfam family "Bacterial small subunit ribosomal RNA", at positions 524 to 776 of the family's 1533-position model. The record is from RNAcentral.
GACGUAGGAGGCGAGCGUUAUCCGGAUUUACUGGGCGUAAAGCGCAUGUAGGCGGUUCGUCAAGUCGUGUGUUAAAGCCCCUGGCUCAACUGGGGGGAGGUCAUGCGAGACUGCCGGACUUGAGGACAGUAGAGGCACGUGGAACUCCCGGUGUAGCGGUGGAAUGCGUAGAGAUCGGGAAGAACACCCGUGGCGAAGGCGACGUGCUGGGCUGUAACUGACGCUGAGAUGCGAAAGUGUGGGGAGCAAACGGG